RNAcentral lists this unclassified non-coding RNA (191 nucleotides) under soil metagenome. Its description in RNAcentral is "partial internal transcribed spacer 1". The record is from RNAcentral.
CAGAGCUGCAAAACUCCCACAAACCAUCGCGAAUCUUACCCGUACGGUUGCCUCGGCGCUGGCGGUCCGGAAGGCCCUCGGGCCCCCCGGAUCCUCGGGUCUCCCGCUCGCGGGAGGCUGCCCGCCGGAGGUGCCGAAAACCAAACUCUUGAUAUUUUAUGUCUCUCUGAGUAAACUUUUUAAAUAAGUCA